GACGAACGCUGGCGGCGUGCUUAACACAUGCAAGUCGAACGGAAAGGCCCUGCUUUUGUGUGGUGCCCGAGUGGCGAACGGGUGAGUAACACGUGAGUAACCUGCCCUUGACUUUGGGAUAACUUCAGGAAACUGGUGCUACUACCGGAUAGGAGCUCCUGCUGCAUGGUGGGGGUUGGAAAGUUUCGGCGGUUGGGGAUGGACUCGCGGCUUACUAGCUUGUUGGUGGGGGAGUGGCUUACCAAGGCUUUGACGGGUAGCCGGCCUGAGAGGGUGACCGGCCACCUUGGGACUGAGAUACGGCCCAGACGCCUACGGGGGGCAGCAGUGGGAAAUAUUGCACAAUGGGCGGACGCCUGAUGCAGCAACGCUGCGUGCGGAAUGACGGCCUUCGGGUUGUAAACCGCUUUCGCCUGUGACGAAGCGUGAGUGACGGUAAUGGGUGAAGAAGCACCGGCUAACUACGUG
This 468-nucleotide ribosomal RNA is filed under the name uncultured bacterium. RNAcentral describes it as "partial 16S ribosomal RNA". It matches the Rfam family "Bacterial small subunit ribosomal RNA", at positions 28 to 507 of the family's 1533-position model. The record is from RNAcentral.